Gossypium raimondii (Peruvian cotton) is the source of this 1143-nucleotide long non-coding RNA. RefSeq lists it as uncharacterized. The record is from RefSeq and is a predicted model, not a curated record. Lineage: Eukaryota; Viridiplantae; Streptophyta; Magnoliopsida; Malvales; Malvaceae. The transcript is spliced from 4 exons.
GUCUGCAUUUAUCAUUCUGUCUUUUCCUCUGCCCAAGACCACUAAAAAGUAAAAGCAAAUCCCCUCAAAUCUUUUGCUUCUCUGAUUAGUUUUACAACCUGCAUUUCUUCUUUCAUUUCAAUCAUCACUCACUCAUGCCGAAAAUCAAAAUCUUAUCUUCUUUCCCUUUGCUCUGAAUAACCAAGACGAUUUGGUUCCUGUUCUUCGCAUAACGCUUUUAAGGUCUCUCCCUCCAGGUAUUGUUCCUCUCCCUUCUUGAGUGUUUCUUUUGCUAUUCUGUGUGCUUCGAUAUUUCCAGUCCUUGGUAUGAAGUAGAAACUAAUAUUUUGAAAGAAACCUUUUAAACCUUGAAUAUAACUGAUGAUUGCUCCUAUUUCUGAUCUGUCACGAUUUUCACUUUGGCAUUUUGUUGUAACUGUUUUUGAAUCUCCUAGUAUGUCUAAAGUAUGAUAUCCCAAUUGAAUCCCUAACAUUAUUGCUUGAUAUCCUACGUAUGCUUCCGCCGCAAAUGGAGAUGCAACAUUUUCAUGAAGGAUCGACUUUGCAACCACGAUUUUACCCUCCUGUUCCUUAACAAUUAGGCCUGACGCAGAUCUGUUAUAUUGUGAGUCAAAAGCCGCAUCGAAAAAGAUGGCCGUAUUCGCUCUUUGUAGCCUCUGACUAGGCCUUGUACUGGUUACUAAGAAAUUUAUUUCUACUUGUCCAGAUUAUCUAUAGCCCACAGCAGAAUCCUCUACACUGUUCAUUUGUUCCUUCGCUGAAAACCCAGGGCACCUUUGAAUGACAUGGUUGCUAUCUUCUACUUCCUGUCCACAUUUCAGACAUCGAUCCUCUAUCAUUACUUUUCUCAGCUUUAGAUUGGAGAAAGUUGGAAUGUAAUUCCUCGCAAUUUUCUACACUGUUAUCUUAAUUUUUGAAGACAAAUUUAGAUUCCAUAAUUUUCUGUAAAAUUUUUUUGUAUGGGUCUGUAAAUAAGCAUUAGGAUCUGUAGUAGACUCUUGUAAUAUUUUAUAGGCGCUUCUUACUGAUAAGACUCCAGUCGCCUCCCCUCUCCAGACUUGAAUGUCUUCUUGGCUUGACUUUGAAAGCGAAAUCUGCAUUAUCUUCUUCGUAAUAUCCGUAUUAAAGCGAUCAUUCCAUACU